RNAcentral lists this ribosomal RNA (109 nucleotides) under Caerostris darwini. The record is from RNAcentral. Lineage: Eukaryota; Metazoa; Arthropoda; Arachnida; Araneae; Araneidae.
AACGGCCAUACCAUGGGGAUAUAUCGGCUCUCGUUAGAUCACCGAAGUCAAGCAUCAUUGGGCGCGGUCAGUAUUUGGGUGGGUGACCACCUGGGAACACCGCGUGCCG